This 253-nucleotide ribosomal RNA is filed under the name uncultured bacterium. Its description in RNAcentral is "partial 16S ribosomal RNA". It matches the Rfam family "Bacterial small subunit ribosomal RNA", at positions 524 to 776 of the family's 1533-position model. The record is from RNAcentral.
UACGAAGGGGGCUAGCGUUGUUCGGAAUCACUGGGCGUAAAGCGCACGUAGGCGGAUGUGUCAGUCAGGGGUGAAAUCCCGGGGCUCAACCUCGGAACUGCCUCUGAUACAGCACAUCUUGAGUCCGGAAGAGGUGGGUGGAAUUCCUAGUGUAGAGGUGAAAUUCGUAGAUAUUAGGAAGAACACCGGUGGCGAAGGCGGCCCACUGGUCCGGUACUGACGCUGAGGUGCGAAAGCGUGGGGAGCAAACAUG